Molecule: long non-coding RNA, 907 nt
Filed under: Octopus vulgaris (common octopus)
Lineage: Eukaryota; Metazoa; Mollusca; Cephalopoda; Octopoda; Octopodidae
Source: RNAcentral
UUUUUUUUUAAAGCUUGCUACUUACCCCAUCGGGUCCUUUUUGCCGAAUUGCUAAGUGACGGGGUAUAAACAAACCAACACCGGUUUUCAAGCGGUGGUAGGUGGGGGGUCAGCCACACACACACACACACACACACACACACACAAAAACGGGCUUCUUUCAGUUUCCAUCUACCAAAUCCCUUCACAUGCAGUGGGAUUGAACCCGAAACCAUGUGAAGCAAAUUUCUCCAUACGGCCACGCCUGUACUUACAUGAUCAAAUUUUUUCCACCACUACCACCACCACAGCAAAAAAACCACCUCGCGUCCUUUCCGACACUGUGCAUCGAGGAUGACACUAUCCGGUGUGUCCUUCUCUAAUUUGAGGGAGAUCUAGGGGUCACGUUGUGGCUCUUUUGUUGGCUCAAUGAAACGUUAGCGCGCCGGGCGAAAUGCUUAGCGAUAUUUCGUCUGCCGUUACGUUCUGAGUUCGAAUUCCGCCGAGGUCAACAGUGCCUUUCAUCCUUUCGGGGUCGAUAAAUUAAGUACCAGUCACGCACUGGGGUCGAUAUAAUCGACUUAAUCCGUUUGUCCUCUCUGUGUUUAGCCCCUUGUGGGUAGUAAAGAAAUAGGUAUUUCUUUUGCGGUUACGUUCUGAGUUCAAAUUCCGCCGAGGUCGACUUUGCCUUUCAUCGUUUUAGGGUCGAUUAAAUAAGUACCAGUUACACACUGGGGUCGAUGUAAUCGACUUAAUCCGUUUGUCUGUCCUUGUUUGUCCUCUCUGUGUUUAGCCCCUUGUGGGUAGUAAAGAAAUAGAUAUUUUUUAUUGCUGUUUUCUGACCACUUUAACUUCCAGCUCUGUCUGUUGAACAGACCCUGCAAUGAAGGCUGUAUUGUGUACUAUUUUAAGCUGCACAAAAGAAAAA